UCCACGCCUUUACUUUUAUUUAAAUGUAUGGAGCAGAAUUAAUGCCCAUACAAGCACCUUAACUUUAUGAAUUUAAUUUACCACACAUUUACAUUUAUUUAAAAGGGUGGUGCGGGUUUAUCGUCCACGCCUUUACUUUUAUUUAAAUGCAUGGAGCAGAAUUAAUGCCCAUAUAAGCACCUUAACUUUAUGAAUUUAAUUUACCGCACAUUUACAUUUAUUUAAAGUGUGGUGCGGGUUUAUCGUCCAUACCAGUAAUUUAUUUACCAACAAUUUAUUUUAUGGAUUAAAUGUGCUGUAUGAUGAGUUUUUUUUUUUACAGUAUACAGAUCAGGACCAGAAGUUCCUUGAUCCUCAUCAUACAAU
This 366-nucleotide long non-coding RNA is filed under the name Prunus persica (peach). Its description in RNAcentral is "long non-coding RNA (PPER_LNC007574)". Lineage: Eukaryota; Viridiplantae; Streptophyta; Magnoliopsida; Rosales; Rosaceae. The record is from RNAcentral.